Long non-coding RNA from Leptopilina heterotoma, 1614 nucleotides. RefSeq lists it as uncharacterized. The transcript is spliced from 4 exons. Lineage: Eukaryota; Metazoa; Arthropoda; Insecta; Hymenoptera; Figitidae. The record is from RefSeq and is a predicted model, not a curated record.
AUGAGUCCAUAUAACCUUCUUUUGAAAAAUUGAAAAUCGUCACGAAUGCAAAGCUUCCUUAUGAGGAAGCAAAAGGGAACAAAGUCCAAAAAAGGGGAAUGGUUGAAUUGGUCAGGAAAAUAGAGAGAGAAGGAAAAGCGGUCUGGGUGUUUUCCAACGAUUAAGGCCAGGCAGGAGGAACAAAGCGAUCAGACACCGCAUAACUUGAAGGCAAAAAAGAGGUAGACAUAACACCUAAAAAAUGUCAUAUGAGGAGAAAACUGACAUCCUUCCGAAGAUUGAAGAAUCAAUGGAUAACACUAGCAUCAAUUCUUUAAACGACGAUUGUCUCAUAUUAAUUUUCCAGCGUCUUCCAAUCAUCGAUAAAAUUAAAAUUGAAAGAGUUUGUAAACGUUCGCAAAGAUUAAGUAAAAAAUCUAGGAAUUCUAUUAAAAAGCUCAAUCUUCAAUCCUUAUCAUGGGGUUGGUUAGUUGAUAAAUACCAAAAUAAAAUAUUCAUUUGCAAUAAAAUAAUGCAUGAUGCAAUUCGUUGUGGUAAUUAUCUAACGGAAGACAUUUUAAUCUAACGACAUAUCUACUGCCAGGCAAAGUUUCUCGACAUCAUUUUCAGUACGUACUAACUUAACGUCUUGCCUUUUACUACUGAAUUGUGAAAACAUUGUUAAACUAGGCUUUGAGCCGUGGCUUAAUGAAUUUGAAGAACCGAACUUAAUGGAACUUUUUAAUCGAAUGAAAAAUCUGAAAGUUCUAAGACUUGGAGCAUUUGGCAGACCAUUACGUAUUAGCGGAGAGUGUCUCCUUUAUUUGCCCAGUGAUGUUAUAGAGGAAAUUAUUUUUGUUAAUUGUCGACCUAUUCAAUCUAAUUUGUUUUAUAAGGCUUUCGAUGAAUUUACAAAUUUACACACUCUUGCCUUAUUCGAAUGUCAUUUCAGUAUUAAAGUGUCGGAAUAUGAUGUAAAAAUGUUAUCGAAUCUAAAAAAACUUAAACGUCUACACUACACAGUUAAACAGGGGGUAUCACUUUAACUCCAAUUAUAGGUGUUAAAAUGAGGAGCAACAAAAAUAACACCAGAAAAAUGAAAACACUCGACAAUCAUCAUUUUCACACUACAUUUCUAGUCAUUUUAACAAUUUUAAAGAGUAAACCUAUCUUCAAAGAAUAAAAAAAAACAAUGAAAUUAUGUAUAAAACAAAAAUAUAACCAAAUUAGUUGACAAGCCGAGAACGCAAAAAAAAAUUAAAAUAGAAAAAUAGACAGAAUAUUGCAAAAGGAGAAAGACAGCAAAUAACAAAAAAAUAAAGGUAACCAAAUACAAUAUUAAUUAGUAAAUUCAAAUUAAAAAUAUAAUAGUACAUUUUAAUAAAAAAAAAUUUAAUUUUUGAAAGUAUGGGAAAAGUAUGGCAAAGUAUGGGUGACGAAAAAUAUUAACCUUAUUUAAAUUUUCCAGUUUUGUAAAAAAAUCUUUUCUUUUUGCAAACUGUGGGAACAGCAUAUAAAAGUAUAAGUGAUGAAAAAAUCAAUUUUAAGUAACUUUUUCAGUUUUAAAAAAAAAUCAUUUUGCGAAUUGUGUAGAAAGAUUGUCAAAAUAUAGGCGAUGAGUUAAACUAAAUUUUA